Molecule: transfer RNA, 69 nt
Filed under: Ovis aries (sheep)
Lineage: Eukaryota; Metazoa; Chordata; Mammalia; Artiodactyla; Bovidae
Rfam family: tRNA
About the family: Transfer RNA (tRNA) molecules are approximately 80 nucleotides in length.
Source: Rfam by way of RNAcentral
CCUGGUGGCUCAGAUGGUAAAGCGUCUGCCUGCAAUGCAGGAGACCCGAGUUCGAUCCCUGGGUCAGGA